CUUUAUAUGCCAGGGUCAUCAUUGUGAACAUCAGUUUUUUGCUUGUGUUCCCAGUACUGUGCACUGAAAUUUUCUCUUCCUCUGCCUACUAAACACUGUACCUGGUUGUGCUUGCUGUUUCUGGUCUCCUCCUAGCUGGCUGGUUCAGCUUCCUGGGUUCCCUGCGGGUCCCAGCACUUCAGCUGCACGUGAGCAAAACAGCAAUGGGAGCCAGUCAGAAGGAUUUUGAGAGUGCAGUCAAUCAGGUGAAGCUGUUGAAGAAGGACCCAGGAAAUGAAGUGAAGCUCAAACUCUAUGCGCUCUAUAAGCAGGCCACUGAAGGGCCUUGUAAUACACCUAAACCAGGUCUGUUCGACUUGAUCAAUAAGGCCAAAUGGGAUGCAUGGAAUGCUCUUGGCGAUCUGCCCAAGGUAAAUUUACUUGCUACUUGGCUU
Molecule: non-coding RNA, 434 nt
Organism: Leptonychotes weddellii (Weddell seal)
Lineage: Eukaryota; Metazoa; Chordata; Mammalia; Carnivora; Phocidae
Source: RefSeq, a predicted model, not a curated record